RNAcentral lists this ribosomal RNA (253 nucleotides) under uncultured bacterium. RNAcentral describes it as "partial 16S ribosomal RNA". It matches the Rfam family "Bacterial small subunit ribosomal RNA", at positions 524 to 776 of the family's 1533-position model. The record is from RNAcentral.
UACAGAGGUGGCAAGCGUUGUUCGGAUUUACUGGGCGUAAAGGGUCCGUAGGCGGUUCGGUUAGUCAAAUGUGAAAGCCCACAGCUCAACUGUGGAACUGCAUUUGAAACUGCCGAGCUAGAGUGUGAGAGGGGUUAAGGGAAUUCCCGGUGUAAGGGUGAAAUCUGCAGAGAUCGGGAGGAACACCAGUCGCGAAGGCGCUUAACUGGCUCAUUACUGACGCUCAGGGACGAAAGCUAGGGUAGCAAACGGG